Molecule: ribosomal RNA, 449 nt
Filed under: uncultured bacterium
Lineage: Bacteria
Description: partial 16S ribosomal RNA
Rfam family: Bacterial small subunit ribosomal RNA
Source: RNAcentral
GUCGAGAAUCUUUCACAAUGGGGGCAACCCUGAUGGAGCGACGCCGCGUGGAGGAUAAGGUCUUCGGAUUGUAAACUCCUGUCAUGCGUGAACAAGGUUGCUUGGUUAAUACCUGGGCAAAUUGAUGGUAACGCAAGAGGAAGAGACGGCUAACUCUGUGCCAGCAGCCGCGGUAAUACAGAGGUCUCAAGCGUUGUUCGGAAUCACUGGGCGUAAAGGGUGCGUAGGUGGCGUGGUAAGUCAGAUGUGAAAGCCCGGGGCUCAACCUCGGAACUGCAUCCGAUACUGCCAUGCUAGAGUACUGGAGAGGUGACUAGAAUUCUCGGUGUAGCAGUGAAAUGCGUAGAUAUCGAGAGGAAUACCAAAGGCGUAGGCAGGUCACUGGACAGUUACUGACACUGUGGCACGAAGGCCAGGGGAGCGAACGGGAUUAGAAACCCCGGUAGUCC